CAAAUUGAUAACCUCCAAUUUGGUGCGCUUAAAAGAUCAAGUUCCACAAUGGCAUUAUUAUAUAUGUUCCAUAAAUGGUACGAAGCCAUGGACACACCCGGCACCUGUCUUCGAAUCUGUACGUUGGACUUCUCAAAAGCAUUUGACCGGAUUGACUUCAACAUCUUACUUCAAAAAUUGAUAAAUAUGGGCAUACAUCCUGUCCUUAUUAAUUGGAUCGCCAACUUUCUCACAGACAGAAGACAGCGUACAAGAAUCGGCCCGAAUUAUUCUUGUUGGAGGCCAAUCAUUGGUGGUGUCCCACAGGGAACCAAACUUGGCCCCUUGCUCUUUUUAAUUAUGGUGAACGACCUGAAGGUCUCUGACGAUUCUGUUAAAUUCGUAGACGACACUACUUUAUGGGAAAUAAUUACGAGCGCCCAAUCGUCUGCUUCAGUCUUAUCGGCACAAAUUAGUGAAUGCUCCAGUUGGGUGGCCAAAAACAAUAUGAAAUUGAAUCCCACUAAAACCAAGGAAAUUCGAGUAUGUUUUUCGACUUAUGAUACCGAAGCACUUCCUCCACUUACCAUUGAUGGCUGUAACAUUUCUGUCGUGUCACAUGCUAAAAUACUCGGAUUAAUCAUCUCCGAAGACCUCAAGUGGGUUCUUCAUGUUAAUUUCAUUUGUAAGAAAGCUGCGAAGCGUCUGCAUGCUCUACGAUUAUUAAAGAGAUCUUCCAUUCCAUCAAGCAAGUUAGUGCGAGUGUUUAAUACAUGCAUUAGUCCAAUUUUAGAAUACUCGUGCGAAGUAUGGCAUCACAGUUUGCCCCAGUAUUUAAGUGAUCAGAUCGAAAGGAUCCAACGCAGAGCUCUACGAAUAAUCUUCCCAGAUUGUUGUUAUGAUAUUGCAAUGGACCGCGCCGGUGUGGUGUCAUUAUUCAUACGGAGAGAGACGAUCUGUAAGAGAUUUUUUGAACGAAUGCGUACUGACGAAGCACACAAGUUACAUUCCCUUGUCCCUUCCAAUCGGGAUACAGAAUAUUCCCUUCGGGGUGGUAAUAACAAACUAUCAAUACCUGUAGGUGUAGAACUAAUAGAUAUGCAAACAGUUUCAUA
This is a non-coding RNA of Paramuricea clavata, 1094 nucleotides long. Lineage: Eukaryota; Metazoa; Cnidaria; Anthozoa; Malacalcyonacea; Plexauridae. The record is from the annotation of a GenBank genome assembly.